This 491-nucleotide ribosomal RNA is filed under the name uncultured bacterium. RNAcentral's name for it is "bacterial SSU rRNA". It matches the Rfam family "Bacterial small subunit ribosomal RNA", at positions 63 to 598 of the family's 1533-position model. The record is from RNAcentral.
CGAGCGGGCGUAGCAAUACGUCAGCGGCAGACGGGUGAGUAACGCGUGGGAACGUACCUUUUGGUUCGGAACAACACAGGGAAACUUGUGCUAAUACCGGAUAAGCCCUUACGGGGAAAGAUUUAUCGCCGAAAGAUCGGCCCGCGUCUGAUUAGCUAGUUGGUGAGGUAAUGGCUCACCAAGGCGACGAUCAGUAGCUGGUCUGAGAGGAUGAUCAGCCACAUUGGGACUGAGACACGGCCCAAACUCCUACGGGAGGCAGCAGUGGGGAAUAUUGGACAAUGGGCGCAAGCCUGAUCCAGCCAUGCCGCGUGAGUGAUGAAGGCCCUAGGGUUGUAAAGCUCUUUUGUGCGGGAAGAUAAUGACGGUACCGCAAGAAUAAGCCCCGGCUAACUUCGUGCCAGCAGCCGCGGUAAUACGAAGGGGGCUAGCGUUGCUCGGAAUCACUGGGCGUAAAGGGUGCGUAGGCGGGUCUUUAAGUCAGGGGUGAA